CCCACCCAGGGACGGCGUCUUUU
This 23-nucleotide non-coding RNA is filed under the name Cricetulus griseus (Chinese hamster). Lineage: Eukaryota; Metazoa; Chordata; Mammalia; Rodentia; Cricetidae. The record is from RNAcentral.